This 544-nucleotide long non-coding RNA is filed under the name Eucalyptus grandis. RNAcentral's name for it is "long non-coding RNA (EGRA_LNC007293)". The record is from RNAcentral. Lineage: Eukaryota; Viridiplantae; Streptophyta; Magnoliopsida; Myrtales; Myrtaceae.
UCUGCAGAUCCUUCCAUGGUGGGCGUCGUUGGUGUGCCUUUUGUGUUGCUACUAUGCUGGAGAGACAGAAUUAGUAGAUUUGAGGUCGUGUGCCGAUGCUGCAGAAGGGAUAGAUUCUUCAUCAAUGAUGCCACUGGUCAGGGGGAGCUUGCCACGAUCUCAGACAACACCUCUGUUGUGCAGCUCAGGCGAGCAUGCUCUAUUACAGAUCUAGAUCAAGUUGGGCGUCUCCAGUUGGUCAGACCCAUCCCCGUUAUCGUUGCUAUUCAAGUGAGGGCGGCCCCUAUCUAGCUUUGACGACCUGGCAUUCUUAGCAGGGAGGGCCAUUUGGUUAAUCCUCCGGUUCUGAGGUUGUGCUCUGUAUCCAGCGUUGACAAAUCUGAACUUGUGAUUAGGCUCUGUAGGUGGUACAAGGCAAGCAUCUUUGGGGCCGCUACCCAGAGGUUGUUUCCCAUAAUCUUGCGCUCGACCUCUACUGGGCAUCUCGGGUGUGCCUUGGACUCGGGAUGGGUAUUUCUCAGCUCACCGCUCUGUCUAGACCAGG